GGGACGAGAGGGCCUGACGUACAGAUUAUAAGCGCCAUGGCUAUGGCUAGUGUUAAAUUGCUUGCCGGUGUUUUAAGAAAGCCAGAUGCCUGGAUUGGACUCUGGGGUGUUCUCCGAGGGACACCUUCAUCAUACAAACUCUGUACUUCCUGGAAUCGAUACUUGUAUUUUUCUAGUACCAAGUUACGUGCACCAAAUUAUAAAACACUUUUUUAUAAUAUUUUCUCACUGAGACUCCCAGGGCUUUUACUAUCUCCAGAAUGUAUUUUUCCUUUUUCCGUAAGACUCAAAAGUAAUAUAAGGUCUACAAAAUCUACUAAAAAGUCUCUGCAAAAAGUAGAUGAAGAGGACUCUGAUGAAGAAAGCCAUCAUGAUGAGAUGAGUGAGCAGGAAGAGGAGCUUGAGGAUGAUCCUACUGUAGUCAAAAACUAUAAAGACCUGGAAAAAGCAGUUCAGUCUUUUCGGUAUGAUGUUGUCCUGAAGACGGGGCUAGAUAUUGGGAGAAAAUGAGCAAACUGAUUUCCAAAGAAGUCAAGUGACUGCCUGCAAAUCCUAUGUGCCAUAUUUGAAUCUAAGACACAGUUGACUGUAAGAUGAACCAUUGAUUUAAAAACAGCUUCUUGAGGAGAAAAUGAAUCACCAUAUUAGAUGUAUGUAGCAAACGUAAAAUGUACCUGGAUAUUUCACAAAUGCUAUAAUGUGAGACGGUACCUCAGCUGGGCAUGGUGACUCAUGCCUGUAAUCCCAGCACUUUGAGAGGCUGAGCUGGGCGGAUCACAAGGUCAGGAGUUCAAGACCAGCUUGGCCAAUAUGGUGAAACCCUGUCUCUACUAAAAAUACAAAAAUUAGCCGGGCGAGGUGGCAGGCGCCUGUAGUCCCAGCUGCUUGAGAGGCUGAGGCAGGAGAGUCACUUGAACCCGGGAGGCAGAGGUUGCAGUGAGCCGAGAUCGCGCCACUGCACUCCAGCCUGGGUAACAGAGUGAGACUCCAUCUG
This 994-nucleotide long non-coding RNA is filed under the name Homo sapiens (human). RNAcentral describes it as "long non-coding RNA NONHSAT207788.1". The record is from RNAcentral. Lineage: Eukaryota; Metazoa; Chordata; Mammalia; Primates; Hominidae.